CAGUAAACUAAUACAUCAUCAUCAUUACGGGCUUCUGCGGACAACUCUACAACAGUUCAUCAAAUAUUACAGCACUACUACUACUGUAUAUUAAGGCCUCUUUCCUUUCGCUUUCGUUUCCAUACAGAAACCCCAUUCUGCGCCAUUUCAUCCCUCGGGUCUUCAAUAUGCUUCGGAUCAAUCGGAUCCCAUGGCUCCUGUGACUGCUUACAACGCUCAUCGAUGGCAGGAGUAACCUGCGAUAAGAAUGCUAUUCUGAUCUUCAACAGUGGGCACCGGAUACCAGACGCUUUCGAUGGGACGGAGGUGAGAGUGAAUGGUCAGUAUUUUUUAUCUAGAUCUCAGGAUUUUCUGCUGUUGCAACAAAAGAGCAUCGAUAGGCCCGCCCUCCUCAAGAAGAAGCAGUACCCUAUCAAGGGCCUAAGACCCCAAGAGACUACAGCAUACCACUUCCUACCCAGUCCUUAGUCUGAUCUCUCAAGAUUAAAUUGCCAUACUACGGCCGUCAGCUGAGUUUGCUUUGAUCCUGCUGCCGUUCUCGACAGUCAGUGGGCUAGAGUAGAGGAACGUGAAGUGAAGGAAACUAUUUGUGAUAAUGUGAUAGCUGUUUGCCUGGAAGCACAAGCUCUGUUGAUUGAGAGAAAGGACGGUUGGAUGCCCUAGGCCCAUAUGCCCCGCUUAGUAGGGGUGGUAUUGAUGGACAUAAUGGAAAAACAUGGGGCAGCACGCAGUGAUGAGGGCGAUGCAUGAUCAAUCUAGAAUCUAGUGUAGAAUUAUUAUAUGUAGUCAUCGAAUUAAUGCGCAGAAUUUAUUGGGGAAGGGGGAACUUUUUUUUUUCUCGCGAUACCACCUAUACCUGUUGUGCAA
Molecule: small RNA, 867 nt
Filed under: Cryptococcus neoformans H99
Lineage: Eukaryota; Fungi; Basidiomycota; Tremellomycetes; Tremellales; Cryptococcaceae
Description: Cryptococcus neoformans var. grubii H99 hypothetical RNA
Source: RNAcentral